RNAcentral lists this transfer RNA (69 nucleotides) under Oxya chinensis. RNAcentral describes it as "tRNA-Met". Lineage: Eukaryota; Metazoa; Arthropoda; Insecta; Orthoptera; Acrididae. The record is from RNAcentral.
AAAAAGGUAAGCUAAUUAAGCUAUUGGGUUCAUACCCCAUUUCAAGAGGUAAUAAUCCUCUCCUUUUUA